RNAcentral lists this ribosomal RNA (253 nucleotides) under uncultured bacterium. Its description in RNAcentral is "partial 16S ribosomal RNA". It matches the Rfam family "Bacterial small subunit ribosomal RNA", at positions 524 to 776 of the family's 1533-position model. The record is from RNAcentral.
UACGGGGGGGGCAAGCGUUGUUCGGAAUUACUGGGCGUAAAGGGCUCGUAGGCGGCCAACUAAGUCAGACGUGAAAUCCCUCGGCUUAACCGGGGAACUGCGUCUGAUACUGGAUGGCUUGAGGUUGGGAGAGGGAUGCGGAAUUCCAGGUGUAGCGGUGAAAUGCGUAGAUAUCUGGAGGAACACCGGUGGCGAAGGCGGCCAUCUGGACCGUAUCUGACGCUGAGGCGCGAAAGCGUGGGGAGCAAACAGG